GAACAUAAGAGUAUGAUCCUGGCUCAGGACGAACGCUGGCGGCGUGCUUAACACAUGCAAGUCGAGCGGGGAUGUUCGGAGUGCUUGCACACUGAACAUUCUAGCGGCGGACGGGUGAGUAACGCGUGAACAAUCUGUCCCAUACAGGGGGAUAACAGAUGGAAACAUCUGCUAAUACCGCAUAAGACCACGAUGCCACAUGGCGAUGAGGUAAAAGGAGCAAUCCGGUAUGGGGUGAGUUCGCGUCCGAUUAGCUAGUUGGCGAGGUAACGGCCCACCAAGGCGACGAUCGGUAGCCGACCUGAGAGGGUGAUCGGCCACACUGGAACUGAGAGACGGUCCAGACUCCU
Molecule: ribosomal RNA, 350 nt
Filed under: Candidatus Pullichristensenella stercorigallinarum
Lineage: Bacteria; Bacillati; Bacillota; Clostridia
Description: bacterial SSU rRNA
Rfam family: Bacterial small subunit ribosomal RNA
Source: RNAcentral